GACGAACGCUGGCGGCGUGCUUAACACAUGCAAGUCGAACGCUGAAGCUCAGCUUUUGUUGGGUGGAUGAGUGGCGAACGGGUGAGUAACACGUGAGUAACCUGCCUCCUUCUUUGGGAUAACGCCCGGAAACGGGUGCUAAUACUGGAUAUUCACUGGUCUUCGCAUGGGGGUUGGUGGAAAGGGUUUUUCUGGUGGGGGAUGGGCUCGCGGCCUAUCAGCUUGUUGGUGGAGUGAUGGCCUACCAAGGCUUUGACGGGUAGCCGGCCUGAGGGGGUGACCGGUCACAUUGGGACUGAGAUACGGCCCAGACUCCUACGGGAGGCAGCAGUGAGGAAUAUUGCACAAUGGGCGCAAGCCUGAUGCAGCGACGCCGCGUGAGGGAUGGAGGCCUUCGGGUUGUGAACCUCUUUCGCUCAUGGUCAAGCCGCAACAAUGGUUGUGGUGAGGGUAGUGGGUAAAGAAGCGCCGGCUAACUACGUG
This 483-nucleotide ribosomal RNA is filed under the name uncultured bacterium. Its description in RNAcentral is "partial 16S ribosomal RNA". It matches the Rfam family "Bacterial small subunit ribosomal RNA", at positions 28 to 507 of the family's 1533-position model. The record is from RNAcentral.